CGGGGAGUAGCUCAGCCCGGCUAGAGCGCUUGGUUUGGGACCAAGAAGUCGCAGGUUCGAAUCCUGUCUCCCCGACAA
RNAcentral lists this transfer RNA (78 nucleotides) under Stygiobacter sp. GWC2_38_9. RNAcentral describes it as "Ignavibacteria bacterium GWC2_38_9 tRNA-Pro". It matches the Rfam family "tRNA". From Rfam's summary of the family: Transfer RNA (tRNA) molecules are approximately 80 nucleotides in length. Their secondary structure includes four short double-helical elements and three loops (D, anti-codon, and T loops). Further hydrogen bonds mediate the characteristic L-shaped molecular structure. tRNAs have two regions of fundamental functional importance: the anti-codon, which is responsible for specific mRNA codon recognition, and the 3' end, to which the tRNAs corresponding amino acid is attached (by aminoacyl-tRNA synthetases). tRNAs cope with the degeneracy of the genetic code in two manners: having more than one tRNA (with a specific anti-codon) for a particular amino acid; and 'wobble' base-pairing, i.e. permitting non-standard base-pairing at the 3rd anti-codon position. Lineage: Bacteria; Pseudomonadati; Ignavibacteriota; Ignavibacteria; Ignavibacteriales; Melioribacteraceae. RNAcentral also lists the same sequence under 7 other names. The record is from RNAcentral.